Molecule: small RNA, 157 nt
Filed under: human gut metagenome
Description: HNH endonuclease-associated RNA and ORF (HEARO) RNA
Rfam family: HNH endonuclease-associated RNA and ORF (HEARO) RNA
Source: RNAcentral
GUCAACUACCCACCGCCUACGCUAACGCUUAGAGGCGGGGGCUUGAAAAAGCCUAGUUGAUUAGCCUGAGUCAUAAAGAAGGCCUCGCACUCUUAAUUGACUACGUUAUAGCAGAAUAUAUAGGUACCAGCGGAUGCUUCACAAGUCCACUGCUCUA